GACGAACGCUGGCGGCGUGCUUAACACAUGCAAGUCGAACGGAAAGGCCCUGCUUGUGUGGGGUGCUCGAGUGGCGAACGGGUGAGUAACACGUGUGUAACCUGCCCUUGAUUUUGGGAUAACUUCAGGAAACUGGGGCUAAUACCGGACAGGAGCUCCUGCUGCAGGGUGGGGGGUGGAAAUUUUCGGCGGUUGGGGAUGGACUCGCGGCUUAUGGGCUUGUGGGUGGGGGAGCGGCUUACCAAGGCUGUGACGGGUAGCCGGCACGGGUGGGUGACCGGCCACAUGGGUCCUGCGAUACGCCCCAGUGUCCAACGGUGGGCAGCGGUGGGGAAUAUGGCCCAACGGGCGGAAGCGGGAUGAGGCAACCCCGCGGGCGGGAUGCCGGCCUUCGGGUUGUAAACCGCUUUCGCCUGUGACGAAGCGUGAGUGACGGUACUGAGUAAAGAAGCACCGGCUAACUACGUG
Molecule: ribosomal RNA, 468 nt
Filed under: uncultured bacterium
Lineage: Bacteria
Description: partial 16S ribosomal RNA
Rfam family: Bacterial small subunit ribosomal RNA
Source: RNAcentral